UUUUUUUUUUUUUUUUUAAUUUUAUUUUAUUUUAUGGAUGUACCCACAGCAUAUGGAUGUUCCCAGGCCAGAGAUUGAAUCCUAGCCACAGCUGCAGCAAUGUGAUCCUUUUAAACACUGGAUCAUUUUCAACCCACUGUGCUAGGCUGAGGAUUGAACCCUUGCCUCUGCAGCAACCUGAGCAGUCAGUAUCUUAAUCCAUUGUACCAUGGCAAGAACCCCAAACCUUGUUCUUCUUACUAUACUUUUCAUGGUUACUUUUGCAUAACUAGUCUCCCACACACACUUUCCCUUGUCUUUAGCUGAAAUGUACUUAAGCCAGAAUUCUAAGCUACAUCUGUGAAUUAUAAUUUUUCCCUUAUCUCUCAUUUAAACUUAUUUAAAAUUUUUCUCUUAUUAAUUUGCCUUCUGUAUAGGAACCCAGCCAAGAACUUAGAGGGAUAAUUAUUUUUCCUCCCCCUAAGACUUUGACAUUGUUGAAGCAGCUGACUUUACUCUGGCUGAUUUUUUCGGUCCUAUGUUCUUGACUUUUUUUUUUUUUUGCUUUUUAGGGGCGCACCCAUGGCAUAUGGAUUUUCCCAGGCUAGGUGUCAAAUCAGAGAUAGAACUACCAGCCUAUACCACAGCUCAUAACAAUGGUGGAUCCUUAACCCACUGAGUGAGGCCCUGGAUCGAACCCGAAUCCUCAUGGAUACUAGUCAGGUUCGUUACCACUGAGCCACGAUGGGAACUCCCUGCUCUUGAUGUCUACUGCACUUAAUUUUAAAAUUUAAUGCCACAGCUUUAAAUCUAGGUCAUUGACGAUCCAAAUCUGGUCUUUCUUUUUAAGUCUAGUUUCCUGAGUUUUCCUUAAUAAAUGAAAUAGUCCAAGGAGAAUAUGCCACCAUUUCCAGAAUCUUACCUGGAAUUUAUGAUUAUAUUAUCUAUGUGUUCUAAAGUUUUGUUUGUUCCAUGUUUUUCACUCUGGGCCAUUCUGAGUCCAGGUUGAUCUCAGCUCUAAUGGUAGGAUCAGCCUUAUAAUUGGAGAGAAUUGAAAAAUGUUUAUUUUUAUAAGGUUUAAGGGGCCUUCCUAAUCUCAAUCAAUAUUCUCAUUUAAAGUUCUUAGUUUGGUAUAUCCUAGUCUGUUGUCCACAAUCUCUUAUAAUCUAUCAGCUGUUUUAUUAUGUAUGACACUGUCAGUAUAUUAUCUUUAAUCUUUAUAGCAAUUUUAAAAAGGAGAAAUUAUUCACUUUUAGAGAUUAGAAAAGAGGCUGUGCAGAAUUAACUUGCUCCAAGGCUAGUGAGUACAAAGGAUGCUAAUAGGCCUGAUUUUGAAGAUUUCUGUAGGGUUUGAAACAGAUGUGACUUACAAAGUCAAGAGUCAGAAUUUGAACACACACAUGGCCUAAACUGAUCUGUCCCCUUGUAGAUGUACUUGUGAGCACUGAUUUUGGAGUCAGAUUGCUUGGCUUCAAAUCUCAGCUCCAACAAAUUAAUAAAGUGCAUACGUCAUAUGAUAAUAUAAAAUGAGGAGAGACCCUAUAAAAAGGACAUGAAAUGGCAAAAGAACAAUGCUGCUUACUUCACUUUUGUUGAGGCUGCUCUUACCCAAGCUUUCUUCCAUUGGUUCUAGGAGAAUGCAGCAUGAUGAUACCUAGGGAAAAUCAGUGGAGUGUGGGGACAGGAGGGAAGGGGUUAGGAUUUUGGUUCCUUCUACCUACAUAACUUAUGCUAAAGGGGAAAACCAAUUUAAUAACUCAGCUUACUUUUCUUAUUUAAAGAGAAGGCAAGCAAUAACUUACCACAUCAUAUAGGUAUUUGAAAAAAUUCCUCUAUGCAGAUGUAGAUAUGAAGUUUUGUUUAAAGUGCCAAUUAUCAUGUAAUGUGUCAAGAAAAUCAAGAUAAAUAAAACAUGAUCUCUGUUCUUAAAAUGCUCAUAGUCUAGAGCUUAGGCACAAUAAUGAGGAGAAGUCUGCAAAACACUAUGUAGAGUGAUUAAUUCUGCUUAGAAGCCUGGGGAGUCUAAGAAAGCUUUCACAGAGCAAUGCCAGACAUUGGCUGACAAAAACUGUUAGGCAAAACUUUAUAUUAGAAUUAGCUUGGUGUAAAGAGAAAAUGUUACCUUCUCAGGUCCCUCUAACUUUCUUCCAAGAGAAGUAUCAGAUAUAAGAACUCUACCAUUAGUAGUUAAAACUACUGUAUGAUUUAGAGUUGUUUCUUUGUUCACUGUCUGUUGAGGGAAAAACACUGUCUUUAUCAAGAAUUGGUCCAAGUAUGCUAAGAGUUAAUCCUAGUUAAAUGUGAAUCAAUGUUAAUUCCUUAUUUUCCCCACUCAUCUUAAAUUUGUAAGAAGCAGCUUAAUGAGAUGAAUAUACAUAGCAGAAAGACUUUUUGGUCUAAAUAUCAAAUUUUAUUGAAAUAAAAUAUAAUCUAUAAUAAAAAAUACUAAGAGUGUUACCACUGGUUACAGUUUUAAGUAUGUUAACAAAAAAAAAAUCCAACAUUUUAAUCCAAGAAUGAUGCUAUCCUUGUGGUACAAUAACAAACAUAAAAUUAAAUAUUGAAUAAUACUGAAUAAUUCUUUCAGAAAUAUUUUGUAUUUUCCCAUCUAUGUUAAUAUGCCUUUUUAAGGAGUAUCCCUUUUAAGGAGUUUCAAAAGUGAAGCUUUUGAAACUGAAGACAUGGUUUUUAGAAUCAAAUAGUUUUAGCAUAAUUAGCCUAUAAAACAAUAACUUUCUUUGAUGGAAAUUCAGUUCAACCCUAUGCUAGAUUGCUUUUAGUGUCUUUAUUAAAAAAAUGUAUCUCAAUGCUCUUUUCUAUCACUUUCUAGGGUUGCUGUUAUUCUUAAACUGAAAUUAAAGCUGGUCAUAGAGCAAAACAGAUGAAUUAUUUCAGAAGUAGAAAGGGUAUUAAGAUAGUAAAGGAAAGAAGGAGGAAAAAAAUAGGCACUCAUACACAAUUUAUAUAUUUCAGCUCUUUGAGAACUCUAUUUCAGUUGGCCAAUCUUGGCCUGGCACAAGGAGAUCUAUCAUAGCAACCUCUUGACCCAAAUAGCAGGGCAGUAAAGUGGAGAAAGAAAACUUGUUUCUUGUUACAUUUCAAGAUCACUUUCUCUGCCAUCAUCAUACCACUUCACUUGCUAUUCCCCAAUCCAAUUGAUUCUGCACAAUUCAAGGAAGAAGACUCACAUGCACUAACUUUAGGAAAUGACUUUCAGGGUACCUCUGAAGUUUCACAAGUCGUGAUUAUCCCUUUUGCUGAUUGUUGGGUAGCAAUCAUACAUCAAUCUCCGAUCAUAUUGUCCUACUUGUGAUGUUUGGAUCUGUGAAAACAAUAGUUGUGAUUUUAUUGAGAAAGAUAUCCUUUAAACAGAAACCACUGGAAGCUUUUCAAGUCCUCGUCUUUAAAAAUCUGUAAUGCUCUAGGAUAUCUUCUAUACCUGGGAAAAAAUUAUUUCAUACAAGUACGGUAUAACAAAAACUGACAAAACUGAGAGAUACACAGGACAGAUUAAUUGCUAAUCUUAGUCUUAAAAUGCAGUUAAUUGGUUAGAACUGUUCUGCAAGUUAUCUUAUUUAUAAUGCUCAUUUGGACAGGUCACUGAUUUAGGAAUUUAAAUGGGCACUUCAGUUUCCUGAAUUUCUAUUUAAAGUUGUAACUACUAGAGCCAAAUAAGCCAGGAUCAUUUUCAGAAGAAUUUUUCUUUAUCCACCUUCUAAUAUAGGAGGAACCUCUGCCCUUCAAGGUAGGCUAUUACAGUAAGCAUAGGUAUACAGUUUUUAAAGUUAAUGGUGACAAAUUCUUAAGUAGUUUGAAAGAAUUCUUUCUUAGAAUUAAUAUCAGAUGAAGUAGAUAAUAAUGCAACUUCUUGUUCUUUAAGUCUACUGUGGUUUAAAGCUAGGCUUUAUGUUUCUGCCCAGGUAUUUCAACACCUUAUCUGGGAUAGUACCAUGCCCUAAAAAUUAGCUAUCAUAGGCAGACAAAUCUAAACCUCACCCUUUCUUGGUUCAACAGGAUGAAGCUAAACUUGAGGCAAUAGUUGAAGACUUUUACCCUGUUUAAGUUAAACUUUUUUGAAAUCAGAAAAGUGAUAUCAGAAAGGGGAAUCCUUCAUGUAAAUAUACAUAUACCCAUCAUGAUUUAUUGAACUCUAAUUUCAAAAGGGAGAAACAAUGGGAUUAAGUAAGCGAACAUGCAUGUGUUAAGAUUUAGAUAAAUCUUCAAAAUAAGUUAAACUUACCAGGAUCCUGCAAUUUGUCCCUCAGACUCCAUUAUCUCUAUUUUGCAAUAUAUUUUGUUCAAGAACCCUUUGAUUAUAAUUUUAGUUUCUUUUAAAGUGUCACUCAAAAAGAGUGACCACAUUUUUUUCAUGUUUUUUCAAUAGCUUUAGAAGUGUUGGACAUC
Molecule: long non-coding RNA, 4383 nt
Filed under: Sus scrofa (pig)
Lineage: Eukaryota; Metazoa; Chordata; Mammalia; Artiodactyla; Suidae
Description: lncRNA (ENSSSCG00000059422.1)
Source: RNAcentral